Molecule: ribosomal RNA, 460 nt
Filed under: uncultured bacterium
Lineage: Bacteria
Description: partial 16S ribosomal RNA
Rfam family: Bacterial small subunit ribosomal RNA
Source: RNAcentral
CCUAUGGGCGGCAGCAGUGAGGAAUAUUGGUCAAUGGGCGGGAGCCUGAACCAGCCAAGUCGCGUGAAGGAAGAAGGUACUUAGUAUUGUAAACUUCUUUUGUCGGGGAACCAAGGCGGAGACGCGUCUCCGGAUGAGUGUACCCGAAGAAAAAGCAUCGGCUAACUCCGGGCCAGCAGCCGCGGUAAUACGGAGGAUCCGAGCGUUAUCCGGAUUUAGUGGGUUUAAAGGGAGCGUAGAUGGGUUGUUAAGUCAGUUGUGAGAGUUUGCGGCUCAACCGUAAAAUUGCAAUUGAUACUGGCAGCCUUGAGUACAGUUGAGGUAGGCGGAAUUCGUGGUGUAGCGGUGAAAUGCUUAGAUAUCACGAAGAACUCCGAUUGCGAAGGCAGCUUACUAAACUGCCACUGACAUUGAUGCUCGAAAGUGUGGGUAUCAAACAGGAUUAGAUACCCCAGUAGUC